GCCUCUGUAGCAUAGCCAGUAAUUGCGCCACCUUGGUAAGGUGGAGGUCGCGGAUGCAAAUUCCGCCAGAGGCU
This 74-nucleotide transfer RNA is filed under the name Candidatus Woesearchaeota archaeon. Its description in RNAcentral is "tRNA-Thr". The record is from RNAcentral. Lineage: Archaea; Nanobdellati; Candidatus Woesearchaeota.